RNAcentral lists this ribosomal RNA (2192 nucleotides) under Salmonella enterica subsp. enterica serovar Corvallis. Its description in RNAcentral is "partial 23S ribosomal RNA". It matches the Rfam family "Bacterial large subunit ribosomal RNA", at positions 711 to 2802 of the family's 2925-position model. The record is from RNAcentral. Lineage: Bacteria; Pseudomonadati; Pseudomonadota; Gammaproteobacteria; Enterobacterales; Enterobacteriaceae.
AGACCCGAAACCCGGUGAUCUAGCCAUGGGCAGGUUGAAGGUUGGGUAACACUAACUGGAGGACCGAACCGACUAAUGUUGAAAAAUUAGCGGAUGACCUGUGGCUGGGGGUGAAAGGCCAAUCAAACCGGGAGAUAGCUGGUUCUCCCCGAAAGCUAUUUAGGUAGCGCCUCGUGAAUUCAUCUCCGGGGGUAGAGCACUGUUUCGGCUAGGGGGCCAUCCCGGCUUACCAACCCGAUGCAAACUGCGAAUACCGGAGAAUGUUAUCACGGGAGACACACGGCGGGUGCUAACGUCCGUCGUGAAGAGGGAAACAACCCAGACCGCCAGCUAAGGUCCCAAAGUCAUGGUUAAGUGGGAAACGAUGUGGGAAGGCCCAGACAGCCAGGAUGUUGGCUUAGAAGCAGCCAUCAUUUAAAGAAAGCGUAAUAGCUCACUGGUCGAGUCGGCCUGCGCGGAAGAUGUAACGGGGCUAAACCAUGCACCGAAGCUGCGGCAGCGAACGUAUCACUUAAAGCGAUUCAGCGGGUUACGAUUGACGGAGCGAAGCGACGUCAAAGCGUAUACAAAGUCGAGUCGGUUUAAGGAUACGUUCGUUGGGUAGGGGAGCGUUCUGUAAGCCUGUGAAGGUGUGUCGUGAGGCAUGCUGGAGGUAUCAGAAGUGCGAAUGCUGACAUAAGUAACGAUAAAGCGGGUGAAAAGCCCGCUCGCCGGAAGACCAAGGGUUCCUGUCCAACGUUAAUCGGGGCAGGGUGAGUCGACCCCUAAGGCGAGGCCGAAAGGCGUAGUCGAUGGGAAACGGGUUAAUAUUCCCGUACUUGGUGUUACUGCGAAGGGGGGACGGAGAAGGCUAUGUUGGCCGGGCGACGGUUGUCCCGGUUUAAGCGUGUAGGUGUGUGUUCCAGGUAAAUCCGGUUCACUUUAACACUGAGGCGUGACGACGAGGCACUACGGUGCUGAAGCAACAAAUGCCCUGCUUCCAGGAAAAGCCUCUAAGCAUCAGGUAACAUCAAAUCGUACCCCAAACCGACACAGGUGGUCAGGUAGAGAAUACCAAGGCGCUUGAGAGAACUCGGGUGAAGGAACUAGGCAAAAUGGUGCCGUAACUUCGGGAGAAGGCACGCUGACACGUAGGUGAAGUGAUUUACUCACGGAGCUGAAGUCAGUCGAAGAUACCAGCUGGCUGCAACUGUUUAUUAAAAACACAGCACUGUGCAAACACGAAAGUGGACGUAUACGGUGUGACGCCUGCCCGGUGCCGGAAGGUUAAUUGAUGGGGUCAGCGCAAGCGAAGCUCCUGAUCGAAGCCCCGGUAAACGGCGGCCGUAACUAUAACGGUCCUAAGGUAGCGAAAUUCCUUGUCGGGUAAGUUCCGACCUGCACGAAUGGCGUAAUGAUGGCCAGGCUGUCUCCACCCGAGACUCAGUGAAAUUGAACUCGCUGUGAAGAUGCAGUGUACCCGCGGCAAGACGGAAAGACCCCGUGAACCUUUACUAUAGCUUGACACUGAACAUUGAGCCUUGAUGUGUAGGAUAGGUGGGAGGCUUUGAAGUGUGGACGCCAGUCUGCAUGGAGCCGACCUUGAAAUACCACCCUUUAAUGUUUGAUGUUCUAACGUGGACCCGUAAUCCGGGUUGCGGACAGUGUCUGGUGGGUAGUUUGACUGGGGCGGUCUCCUCCUAAAGAGUAACGGAGGAGCACGAAGGUUGGCUAAUCCUGGUCGGACAUCAGGAGGUUAGUGCAAUGGCAUAAGCCAGCUUGACUGCGAGCGUGACGGCGCGAGCAGGUGCGAAAGCAGGUCAUAGUGAUCCGGUGGUUCUGAAUGGAAGGGCCAUCGCUCAACGGAUAAAAGGUACUCCGGGGAUAACAGGCUGAUACCGCCCAAGAGUUCAUAUCGACGGCGGUGUUUGGCACCUCGAUGUCGGCUCAUCACAUCCUGGGGCUGAAGUAGGUCCCAAGGGUAUGGCUGUUCGCCAUUUAAAGUGGUACGCGAGCUGGGUUUAGAACGUCGUGAGACAGUUCGGUCCCUAUCUGCCGUGGGCGCUGGAGAACUGAGGGGGGCUGCUCCUAGUACGAGAGGACCGGAGUGGACGCAUCACUGGUGUUCGGGUUGUCAUGCCAAUGGCACUGCCCGGUAGCUAAAUGCGGAAGAGAUAAGUGCUGAAAGCAUCUAAGCACGAAACUUGCCCCGA